RNAcentral lists this transfer RNA (94 nucleotides) under Mesorhizobium sp. 113-3-9. RNAcentral describes it as "tRNA-Arg". The record is from RNAcentral. Lineage: Bacteria; Pseudomonadati; Pseudomonadota; Alphaproteobacteria; Hyphomicrobiales; Phyllobacteriaceae.
CACCGGCUGGUUGAUUUCGUGCGCGACGCCGGCGGCGAUCUGGCCGAGGAUGGAAAGCCGGUUGGCCUGGGCGAGAUCGUCGCGCAGCCGGCGG